ACUCUGCAGUGUCUGGCCUGGCAGGGUUCCUGGGUGGAGCUGACUGGUUGCAGGAGGAGGGACAUUCAACAGCCAUCCUGACACCACAGCCCAGGCCUUGGUUCCUUGCUUCUGUCUCCAGCAGCCAGACAAGCACCAUGGAGAGGCUGCUGUGCUCUCUGCUGGGGCUGCUGUGCACCCAGGUUUGCUGGGUGAAAGGUCAACAAGUGAAGCAGAGUCCUGUGUCCUUGGUUCUGCAGGAGGGAGAGCGUGCAGAGCUGCAGUGCAAUUUUUCCACCACUGCAAACCAAAUGCAGUGGUUUCACCAAAGUCCUGGGGGACGCCUCGUCAGCCUGUUUUCCAAUCCUUCUGCAGCAAAGCAGAGUGGACUGACAUCCAAGACAGUCAUUAAGGAGUAUCACAGCUCUCUGUACAUUUCCUCCUCCCAGAUCACAGAUUCCGGCACUUUCUUCUGUGUUGUGAGAACCCAGUGCUUCCCGGGCACCUGCAGCCAGUACACAAAUCUUCACCUGGGUGGGUGUGGCCUUUCCCAGUCACAAGACACCAGGAAGCCCCAGACUCGCUUUUGCACAAUUUAAUAUUACCUUCCUAUAGCCACUUUUAUCCACAGAUAUUUUUUUGCCUCUUGGGUUUGGAGUUUUGGUCUUUAUUUUCCCUCUUGGAAUUUUUGCUGCUUGUGCACUCCAGAUUUCUACCUAAGAGUGAGCAGAGGAACAAACAAGAGGAACUGGAGUGAAAUGAAUAUUCAAUUACAAUGCCCUGGCCCACCAGGAGGCAAACACAAACGGACUGGAAAGCAAAGAAAUGGGUUCCACUCAGCUGGGAGUCUCAACCAUGUUCAGGUCUGCCUCACAGAAGGGUCCCCAUGGAUAAGGGUCAAUCCUACUGUGUAACCAGAACUACCAGUGCAGAAGAAGUAAGCAUCACCAAAUUCUCCCAGGUGACACAUCAGUCGGGUGGGGCACUUAACAUUCAUGUCCCAUCCCAGUCCCAUCAUGCUCUUGAGCCACUGUGUGUGCCCAGGAGCUGGUCUACCCGGAGCAUGUGCUGGGCAUGGUUUAGAAAUGUGCUCAGUUGCGGCAUGGGUCUGUCAGACGCAGCUGCCUUGGGUUGUUGCUCACCCCAGCUUCUUUCCUUGUUACUCUGUUACGUUGUUACUGAAGGCAAACUGACUAUUCCUCUCUACAAUUUGAUUAAAUUUGGCCCAUAUGUCUUUGGGUUUGUUGUUAGUUGCACACAUGCUUGUAACUUUAAUAAUUUCCUAGUGAAUUUACCAUUUUUUUUUCUAGAAUUAAAAAGUCCCUCUUGUUUUUACCAACACUGUGAUUUAAAGUAUGUUCUGCACAAGGACAAAAGGCAUGACAUGACAAUGUAUCUUAAGUUACUGGGAGCAAAGGGGUCAUGAUGGGCCAGGCAGAUGGCUCAGGGCCUAAAGUGCUUGCUGUACAAACAGUAAGACCCGAAUCCAGAUCUCCAGCACUCAUGUUAAAGCUGAGCAUGGUGACACAUGCCCGUAACUGUGGCUAUGUUUUAGUUGUGCUGAAACGUGGUGAUAUUUUGUUUGUAUGUUAAUAAAUAAAGUUUGCCUGGAGAUCAGAGGACAUAGACAGCCAUAAACAAAAAUCAGGCAGUGGUAGUAUGCCCCUAAUUCGAUCACAUGGCAAGCAUAGUCUCUGUGUGCUCAAGGACAUACUAGGGAACAACCAAGUGUGGUGACACACGCCUUUAAUCCCAGUA
Non-coding RNA from Peromyscus leucopus (white-footed mouse), 1737 nucleotides. Lineage: Eukaryota; Metazoa; Chordata; Mammalia; Rodentia; Cricetidae. The record is from the annotation of a RefSeq genome assembly.